Molecule: transfer RNA, 70 nt
Filed under: Dipodomys ordii (Ord's kangaroo rat)
Lineage: Eukaryota; Metazoa; Chordata; Mammalia; Rodentia; Heteromyidae
Rfam family: tRNA
About the family: Transfer RNA (tRNA) molecules are approximately 80 nucleotides in length. Their secondary structure includes four short double-helical elements and three loops (D, anti-codon, and T loops).
Source: Rfam by way of RNAcentral
GGGAAAGUGGCUCAGUGGUAGAGUACUUGCCUUGCAUGCAUGAGGUCCUGGGUUCGAUUCCUCAGCACCA